This 253-nucleotide ribosomal RNA is filed under the name uncultured bacterium. Its description in RNAcentral is "partial 16S ribosomal RNA". It matches the Rfam family "Bacterial small subunit ribosomal RNA", at positions 524 to 776 of the family's 1533-position model. The record is from RNAcentral.
UACGGAUGGGGCAAGCGUUGUUCGGAAUCAUUGGGCGUAAAGGGCGUGUAGGUGGUUCUGUAUGUCUACCGUGAAAGCGUACGGCUCAACCGUAUUUAGUCGGUAGAAACUGCAGGACUUGAGGCUGGGAGGGGCUGGUGGAAUUCCCCGUGUAGCGGUGAAAUGCGUAGAGAUGGGGGAGAACACUCGUGGCGAAGGCGGCCAGCUAGACCAGCUCUGACACUGAGGCGCGACAGCGUGGGGAGCAAACAGG